This 1645-nucleotide long non-coding RNA is filed under the name Macaca mulatta (Rhesus monkey). RNAcentral's name for it is "lncRNA (ENSMMUG00000052008.1)". Lineage: Eukaryota; Metazoa; Chordata; Mammalia; Primates; Cercopithecidae. The record is from RNAcentral.
ACAGUCCAACGAACCAUCACAAAGUGAGCACAGCCCUGCACCUAAAUGACUGAACGUUACCAAAGCCCCAGAGAGCUCUCAUGCCCCUCCCGGUCGCUGCUCCUCUCUGGAAGGUGACCACCAUCCUGACUUCUAAUAACAAAGAUGAGUUUGGACUACCUCGAACCUUGAGUCACAAAGAUGAGUUUGGACUACUUCGAACCUUGAGUCACUGGAAUCACAUGAUAAAGAAACUGAGGUAUGGAGUGUUGAAGUAACUUGCCCAAGGUUAUUCACACCACUGGUACUAGAAGGAGGGUAAAUCCACAUUUGACAGGACCCAGUAUAGAUGAAGUCAAUCUCAGUUAAUCCUCAAUUCUUCCUAAAAACUCAUUCUGGGUCUUCAGACAACCUCAACCAAUUGUCAACCAGAAAAUGUUUAAAUUUACCUAUAGCCUGGGAGCCCUAGCUUUUGUCCCACCUUUCUAAACCAAACCAAUGUAUUUCUUAAAUGUAUCUGAUUGAUGUCUCACACCUUCCUAAAACACAUAAAACCAAGCUGUGCCCUGGCCACCUUGGGCACUUGUUCUCAGGACCUCCUGAGGGCUGUGUCGUGGGCCAUGGUCCCUCAUAUUUGUCUCAGAAUAAAUCUCUUAAAAUAUUUUACAGAGUUUGACUCUUUUCAUCAAUAGCACCUAGGCACAAAGCAGAAAUGAAUAGAAAAAGAAAUGCAUGUAAUCCAUGCUUCCCUCAGCAACACCAGGUUUAGAUAGACUAUUUGUGACAAAUAAUUAGGGCAUGACUAAUAAUUUCCAUGUUAACAAGAAAUUAUUUGGUUCUGAGUCUUCAACUCACGUUUUCACUGGGAUCCUAUAAGUAUCAGAGGUGUUUGAAACACAGUGACUCCAUCUUGAACAGCGCUGGGUGAAAUAAGGCUGAGACCUUUUGGUCUGCAUUCCCAGAAAGUUAGGCAUUCUAAGUCACAGGAUGAGACAGGAGGUUGCCACAAGAUACAGGUCCCAAAGACCUUGCUUAUAAAACAGGUUGUGGUAAAGAAGCCAGCCAGACCCCACCAAAACCAAGAGUGACUUCUGGUCAUUCCCCACUGCUCACUGCAUGCUAAUGAUAAUGCAUUAGCAUGCUACAAGACACUCUCUUCAGUGCCAUGAAAGUUUACAGGUGCCAUGAUAGUUUACAGAUGCCAUGGCAACAUCUGAAAGGUACCCUAUAUGGUCUGAAAAGGGGAGGAGCCCUCAGUUCCAGGAAUUUCCCACCCCUUUCCUGGAAAACUCAUGAAUAAUCCACCCUUUGUUUAGCAUAUAACCAAAAAAUAACCAUAAAAAUGGCCAUUCAGGCCAGGCUCAGUGGAUAACGCCUGUAAUCCCAGCAUUUCAGGAGUCCAAGGCAGGCAGAUCACCUGAGGUCAGGAGUUCGAGACCAGCCUGGCCAACAUGGUGAAACUCUUUCUCUACUAAAAAUACAAAAUUAACCAGCUGGGCAUGGUGGCACGUGCCUGUAGUCCCAGCUACUCAGGUGACUGAGGCGGAAGAAUCGCUUGAACCCAGGAGGCGGCAGUUGUAGUGAGCCGAGAUCGCACCACUGCACUCCAGCCUGGGCAACAGAGUGAGACUGUGGAUAAAAGAAAGAAAGAAAGAAAAAAAAAAAA